ACAAAGGCAGCCCAUCCUCUAGGGUAUCCAACAGGCUGCCUCUGUCUGGGAAGAGGCAUGACAGGGAUUUUUCAUAUUUGAUGGGCUGAAUUGGUCCUACCCUUUGAUUCAUUAUGGGCAAAAAAUCUUAAAUUGAGAUGCUGUCAGGCAAGUGCCCUUGGUGUUCAUUAUCAUAAGCUGGCAGGAGGCAAGACUGUCCUGUGAUGGUAAAGAACAGGAACUUUCCUCUAUCAGCAUCUUUCCAUCCAAGCUGCUGAGGCUGCCAGACAGAUCAAGGACUCAAAGGGCCUGCCAUUUGAAGUCUCUGCAGUUUGAAGAUGUGCUGUCAGGGAUCAGUGUGGAGAAGGCUUUUGUUCUGCUGCUGGAGAGAAAAAGGACUGACCCUGCCUGCAUUUUGAGUACCCUGUAAGAAGAACUUGUGCCCAUAGAAACAGACAUAAUGGAUGACUGUGCAGAUGUAAUCCCACCAGUUGGUGUCUACCACAAGGGCUCUGCUUUCUGCCAGAGGAUGAGUCAAUUAUGGAGCCCUGGCAAUCCAAGCAAGGCUGGGAUCAAGCACAGCACCUUUUCCUCCUCUCCUCUGUCUUGGCAGCCCCUGCUUGAUGCUCAGCUGAGAUGGACACACUCAGACACACCAAUGCUUUUAUUCAUGCACACACAGGAAAGGUUUGACCUUGCUCCCAUUGCUGGGUUUCAGUGUGAUUUAGCAGGUGCAGCAGAAGGAGAUUCACUGGAGGAGAUGCUGGCAUCCUUUGUACCAGCAUUAAUUUGAGGUGAAUUUCUGACUCCAAGUGCCCUGCUCCAAAUAUAUUGCAGUAUAACAGAGAACAAAACAUUACUCCAAAGUACAAAAUUUACUGUUGCGGCCUGCAUGAGAAAACAAUUCUCCGUAACUUCCAUAAUCAGACCUUGGAAGCAGAUGACUUUGUGAGUAGUUGGCUGCAGCAGCCAAACACUCAAGCACAGAAUAAUGCAGGUGAUCCCAGCUUCCCUGAGCUCCCAGGGCUUGGCUGUGCAGGCUGAGGAGCAGAUGGGUUCUUUGGUCACAUUACUCAUUCAGCUGAAGCUCAGCACUUUGUUUAAUGCUCUGCUGUCUGAGGCUGGAGUGGCCAGCACGCUGCAGAUUUGAACCUGUUCUUCCGACCACAUCAAAGGAAUCUGGUCCUGGGCCAGAUUUGGAUCUCCCACCAGUUUUAACUGGUAUAAACUGUGUGAUAACUGGUAACUGAGCUGUGUGUAAUAACUAUAUUACUUAAGAUCUCCAAGCACAUAAUUUGAUUAGUGCA
Long non-coding RNA from Zonotrichia leucophrys gambelii, 1286 nucleotides. RefSeq lists it as uncharacterized. Lineage: Eukaryota; Metazoa; Chordata; Aves; Passeriformes; Passerellidae. The record is from RefSeq and is a predicted model, not a curated record. The transcript has 3 exons.